Molecule: long non-coding RNA, 94 nt
Organism: Haliotis rubra (blacklip abalone)
Lineage: Eukaryota; Metazoa; Mollusca; Gastropoda; Lepetellida; Haliotidae
Exons: 3
Source: RefSeq, a predicted model, not a curated record
ACAAACAACAUAGUACAGCUGUAAUUCUGCUGAAACAAAUAUAUGCUCAAGAUAUAGUCACAAUUAUACAAUCGACUGUGCUUUUAGCAUUCUU